AACGCAGUCUCUUAGCGGCGUUUUUAAUGUAAUUAUGAUUAAAAAAAAAAGAAAAUUAGCUAUUUUCAGAAGAGACGUUUCUUAAUCAAGUCUCAGAAGAGACGUCUCUUAUCCUUCAAUCUCCUCUCCUCUCUCGCCAAUCCUUCGAUCUCCUCUCCUUUCUCUCCAAUCCACAGUCUCAUCGGCAUCUUCAAACAACCGGCGAUGCCUCUCAAUUCCCGUUGAUACGAGUCCAUAGCCUUAGGUUUCUUCAAUUCCCGUUCUCCGAGUGUUGUCGUAAUCGGAGAUCAGAUCGACUUCCUGGUUGAAGGACGGCACUGUCUUAUGCUGAGAAGAGUAUCAGAGUAGAUGAGAGGCACAUACCCGCCUACAUAGUGAAGGAAAACUUCCUUUGACUAGCAAAACGACCAGAAGCUGCAGCGAUUGCCUUCAGGGCUGCCCAGAAUUUGAGGUAUGAUCUUCGUUCAUAUCAAGGUCUGGUUAACAGGUGACAAAAAACUGAUAUUCACUUCCAUUGUUGUAUUGUUUUGGUGGUAUUAAUCUUUAACAAGCUUGAAAUAUUGAGGUCAUUUCAGGCUUAGUACAUUCUUAUUUGGCAUUUGGCAAAACCAAAGAAGCGUUGUAUACCUUGGAGCAGCCAUAGCUCUAGCUGACCUACAUCUAAUGGAAGGGAGGAAUGGAGAUGCUGUAUCACUACUUGAACGAUAUCUAAAAGACUGGGCUGAUGAAUCUCUCCAUGCCAAGCUAGCUCAAGUGUUUGCUGCAACGAAUAUGCUACAAGAUUCUUUAUCGCACUAUCAAGCUGCAUUAAGGAUAAAUCCACAGAAUGAGGCAGCCACAGCUGAUGGACCGAAACACAUAGAAACCACCCUAUCACUUUUCUGAUUGUUUUAAAAUAGCACAUGAUGGUUUCGUUAUCGUUCUACUCACCGUUCUUGUUAAGGCUGCUACCUUCCCACUGACCAAAAAGCAGGUCGAAUCUGCAAUGGCUGUGAAGUCUUUGCAGCCUCAAAUUAAGGCUAAUCAGGAACGGUAUGUUGGUGUCAGGUUAACCCAUUUUUCCUGAUGUCAUACUAAGUUUAUAGUUUGUAUCAAUCAAGUUGUUAGGUUUGAGUAAAUAGGUCUGAAGCUGCUUGUUUCAUCAUUAUGGACAGAUAAGUGUUGAGAAUGUUUAAUUUUUUUUUAAGAAACCUUAAUUAAGAAACUUGCAUUGGACAUAUAAAUGUUGUCGUCUCUUAGCGGAGUCUCUUAGCUCACAAUUACUAUUAAAAAAAAAUUAAGAGACCCUAAAUGGAUCUCUAGGUUAAUGAUGCUCUUACAGCACAUGAUUAAAAAAGCUUAGGAUUUAACUGGGUUAACCAUGAUUGCUCUUAUACGUGUCUUGGACUAAUUAUGAAAUAGCAUUUCAUUCUGAUAUAUAAGUUAUAUAAUAUAACACUGUAAAGCUCUAAACAUUUAAAUAGUAAAUAAAAACAUUUACACAAGGUACACUAUUAAGUAUCAAUUAUAUUUUUAUUAGGAAUUAGGUGACAUGACCAUAUGAAAAAAAAAAGAAACUAAGGAUCUAACUAUAACAUAAAUUGGCUAUGAUAUUAUAUUUUAUAUAACAACAAUUGACAAAAUACCCCUACAUGCACGUGUACAAACAGUAAAAGUUGUGUCUUCUCAUUCCCCUGUAAACUGAGAAGUCGUUUUUAAUUUUGAACUCUCUCCCCACAUGCGAAAAAGAAGUUAGAUUUUGAGAGAGAAAUUGCGAGUCUGAUAUGGAGAAUAUAAAAGGUGUAACUCUCACCCUCCCGGCGGUAGCCGUCUGUUUAUUGUGUGAUAUACAAAGUUAGGGUUACGGCAGCAGUUUGAAAGUGACGGUGGCACGGGCGAUCGAAGAGCGAACGGCAGUGCGGGCGAUCGAAAAGAAAACAGCGGCAAUCAAGAUAUGGUUGGAAGGGGAUAAUGGCGAAACAACGAGGCAUGUACUUUCCGCGAAAAGUUAAGCGUGUACCUUCAGACAUGAGGUUUAUCGUGUGUUGCAAUGCUUAUUUUCAUGUAACUCAAUGCCACAGAGUGCAUGAAUCAGUUUGUGCUGAAGGAAGAGGCACUUGAAACUGCAGCUAGUACAUAUGCAAUUGAAGCCUUCUCCACAUUUAACCCAGACCGACUCUUGUAAUAACCCAUUGCUGCUUUCUCCUCUCUUUAACUUUCUUCCGUUGAGACUUGGAACUUAUCGCAUUCCCUAUCCUUUUCCCUAAGCUCCCACUUUGGACUUUUGUGGCAUGCACAUCUCUUGUAUUAUUUCGGAUUGUAUCUUAUUUUCAGUUUAAGGCAUCAUAUUUAUUUAUCCUUCGCUA
Molecule: long non-coding RNA, 2345 nt
Organism: Brassica napus (rape)
Lineage: Eukaryota; Viridiplantae; Streptophyta; Magnoliopsida; Brassicales; Brassicaceae
Exons: 7
Source: RefSeq, a predicted model, not a curated record